AACGAACGUUCGCGGCGCGCCUAACACAUGCAAGUCGCACGAGAAAGGGCUUCGGCCCCGGUAAAGUGGCGCACGGGUGAGUAACACGUGGGUAAUCUUCCCUCGAGCGGGGGAUAACAUUCCGAAAGGAGUGCUAAUACCGCAUAAGACCACGGUCUCGAAAGAGACUGCGGUCAAAGCUGGCCUCUACUUGUAAGCUAGCACUUGAGGAUGAGCCCGCGGCCCAUCAGGCAGUUGGCAGGGUAACGGCCUACCAAACCUAAGACGGGU
RNAcentral lists this ribosomal RNA (270 nucleotides) under uncultured bacterium. RNAcentral describes it as "partial 16S ribosomal RNA". It matches the Rfam family "Bacterial small subunit ribosomal RNA", at positions 29 to 284 of the family's 1533-position model. The record is from RNAcentral.